AUGCUCACUUCGGCAGCACAUACACUAAAAUUGGAACAAUACACAGAAGAUUAGCAUGGCCCCUCUGCAAGGAUGAUAUGCAAAUACACGAAGCAUUCCAUUUUUGU
Callithrix jacchus (white-tufted-ear marmoset) is the source of this 107-nucleotide small nuclear RNA. NCBI's taxonomy places the organism in Eukaryota, Metazoa, Chordata, Mammalia, Primates, Cebidae. The record is from Ensembl.